AUUGAACGCUGGCGGCAGGCCUAACACAUGCAAGUAGAACGAGUGGCGGACGGGUGAGUAAUGUCUGGGAAACUGCCUGACGGAGGGGGAUAAAUACUGGAACCGGUAGCUAAUACCGCAUACCCUCAGAUGUGCCCAGAUGGGAUUAGCUUGUUGGUGGGGUAACGGCUCACAAAGGCGACGAUCCCUAGCUGGUCUGCGAGGAUGACCAGCCACCCUGGAUCUAGGACACGGUCCAGACUCCUCCGGGAGGCAGCAGUGGGGAAUAUUGCACAAUGGGCGCAAGCCUGAUGCAGCCAUGCGGCGUGUAUGAAGAAGGCCUUCGGGUUGUAGAGUACUUUCAGCGGGGAGGCGUUACCCGCAGAAGAAGCACCGGCUAACUCCGUGCCAGCAGCCGCGGUAAUAC
RNAcentral lists this ribosomal RNA (406 nucleotides) under uncultured bacterium. RNAcentral's name for it is "partial 16S ribosomal RNA". It matches the Rfam family "Bacterial small subunit ribosomal RNA", at positions 30 to 526 of the family's 1533-position model. The record is from RNAcentral.